Non-coding RNA from Pelobates cultripes (western spadefoot toad), 1086 nucleotides. Lineage: Eukaryota; Metazoa; Chordata; Amphibia; Anura; Pelobatidae. The record is from the annotation of a GenBank genome assembly.
CCCAGAGUAAUCUCUACCUUACAUACCUGUCUCCUGCUCUCUCCUAUGGGACAGUGCUUUGCUCUCUCCUCCAGCUCUGCUUCACUCCUACUUGAUAUUUCUUGUCCUAAUGUUUCUAAUACCCCCACCUCCUAUAGUCUGUAAGCUCGUUUGAGCAGGGUCCCCUUCAACCUAUUGUUCCUGUAAGUUUUCUUGUAAUUGUCCUAUUUAUUGUUACAUCCCCCCUCUCAAAAUAUUGUAAAGCGCUACGGAAUCUGUUGGCGCUAUAUAAAUGAUAAUAAUAAUAAUAAGAAGAAUUAUAUUGUGUAUUCACAUAUUGAAAUUUUAAAGGAAUAAGCGCUGGUUCCUACCCACACGUUUUUGCACUAGCCUUAAAAAUCGCUUGACACUUUAAGGUUGCACUCACAGAUUGAUGGUAUAUGAUAAGCCUCCAGGGUGCCUCCCCUAUGAUCAGGGGGGUAUCUCCUCGACAAUUCUGAUAUCAGGAAGUCCACACGCUCCCAUUGGUUGAAUGUAAAAACCUAAUAUAUUGGCAUAAAAUAUACUAAAUAAUGAUAAAACAAAACAGAAAAGGUCCUACGCGUUUCAUUUCCCUUGGGAAACUUCCUCAGGGACCAGAAAAAUUUAAAUAUAUUAUAAAACAAAUGCAAUCAAAUACACUUCAAACAAAACUUGACCAGUGUAAAAAAUGCCUCUGUCAGUGUGUGUAUCUGUAUUCCUGUCAGUGUGUGUAUCUGUAUGUCUGUGUGUAUCUGUAUGCCUGUCAGUGUGUGUCUGUGUGUGUGUCUGUAUGUCUGUCAACGUGUGUAACUGCCUCUGUCAGUGUGUGUAUCUGUAUUCCUGUCAGUGUGUGUAUCUAUAUGUCCUUCUGUACAGUUGCAAGAAAAAGUAUGUGAACCCUUUGGAAUUAUAUGGAUUUCUGCACAAAUUGGUCAUAAAAUGUGAUCUGAUCAUCAUCUAAGUCACAAUAGACAAUCACAGUCUAUUGUUGUGACUUAGUCUGCAGAAACACACAAAGAAUGAAAUGUUGCCAUGUUUUUAUUGAACACACCAUGUAAACAUUCGCAGGUGGAAAAAGUAUGUGAA